This 550-nucleotide ribosomal RNA is filed under the name uncultured bacterium. Its description in RNAcentral is "bacterial SSU rRNA". It matches the Rfam family "Bacterial small subunit ribosomal RNA", at positions 355 to 896 of the family's 1533-position model. The record is from RNAcentral.
UAGGGAAUCUUCGGCAAUGGGGGGAACCCUGACCGAGCAACGCCGCGUGAGUGAAGAAGGUUUUCGGAUCGUAAAGCUCUGUUGUUAAGGAAGAACGAGUGUGAGAAUGGAAAGUUCAUACUGUGACGGUACUUAACCAGAAAGGGACGGCUAACUACGUGCCAGCAGCCGCGGUAAUACGUAGGUCCCGAGCGUUGUCCGGAUUUAUUGGGCGUAAAGCGAGCGCAGGCGGUUAGAUAAGUCUGAAGUUAAAGGCAGUGGCUCAACCAUUGUAGGCUUUGGAAACUGUUUAACUUGAGUGCAGAAGGGGAGAGUGGAAUUCCAUGUGUAGCGGUGAAAUGCGUAGAUAUAUGGAGGAACACCGGUGGCGAAAGCGGCUCUCUGGUCUGUAACUGACGCUGAGGCUCGAAAGCGUGGGGAGCGAACAGGAUUAGAUACCCUGGUAGUCCACGCCGUAACGAUGAGUGCUAGGUGUUAGGUCCUUUCCGGGACUUAGUGCCGCAGCUAACGCAUUAAGCACUCCGCCUGGGGAGUACGACCGCAAAGGUUG